AGUGAACGCUGGCGGCAGGCCUAACACAUGCAAGUCGAACGGCAGCACAAGAGAGCUUGCUCUCUGGGUGGCGAGUGGCGGACGGGUGAGGAAUGCAUCGGAAUCUGCCCAUUUGUGGGGGAUAACCUCGGGAAACCGGGACUAAUACCGCAUACGACCUACGGGUGAAAGCAGGGGAUCUUCGGACCUUGCGCAGAUGGAUGAGCCGAUGCCGGAUUAGCUAGUUGGAGGGGUAAAGGCCCACCAAGGCGACGAUCCGUAGCUGGUCUGAGAGGAUGAUCAGCCACACUGGGACUGAGACACGGCCCAGACUCCUACGGGAGGCAGCAGUGGGGAAUAUUGAACAAUGGGCGCAAGCCUGAUCCAGCCAUGCCGCGUGUGUGAAGAAGGCCUUCGGGUUGUAAAGCACUUUUGUUGGGAAAGAAAAGCAGCCGGUUAAUACCCGGUUGUCAUGACGGUACCCAAAGAAUAAGCACCGGCUAACUUCGUG
RNAcentral lists this ribosomal RNA (490 nucleotides) under uncultured bacterium. RNAcentral's name for it is "partial 16S ribosomal RNA". It matches the Rfam family "Bacterial small subunit ribosomal RNA", at positions 29 to 507 of the family's 1533-position model. The record is from RNAcentral.